Molecule: long non-coding RNA, 340 nt
Filed under: Papio anubis (olive baboon)
Lineage: Eukaryota; Metazoa; Chordata; Mammalia; Primates; Cercopithecidae
Description: lncRNA (ENSPANG00000041145.1)
Source: RNAcentral
GACAGUAAACAAAGAAUGUUAAUACUGAGUUUGUUUUGUGUUACACAGUUUAAAAUGCAAUGAGAAAGCCAAAUGAGACUGUAAGAUGAAAUUCUGGAGCUGGUGUAUUACUUCGUGCAUGGAGUCUUGCUGUGUUGCCUAGGCUGGGGUACAGUGACAUGAUCUCAGCUCACCACACACCUGGCCUCCCAGGUUCAGGUGAUUCUUAUGCCUCAGCCUCUCAAGUAGCUGGGAUUAUAGAUUGACAGAUCAAUUUAAACAGCCUUCAUCAAUGCAUGGACCUGAUGUAGAUAAUACAUUUCUGGAUAUUGUGGAGAUGCUAUAAAAGGAUGGGACUCUG